CGGGUGAGUAAUGCGUGACCAACCUGCCCCAUGCUCCAGAAUAGCUCUUGGAAACGGGUGGUAAUGCUGGAUGCUCCAACUUGACGCAUGUCUUGUUGGGAAAGUGUUUAGUGGCAUGGGAUGGGGUCGCGUCCUAUCAGCUUGUAGGCGGGGUAAUGGCCCACCUAGGCUUCGACGGGUAGCCGGCCUGAGAGGGCGGACGGCCACAUUGGGACUGAGAUACGGCCCAGACUCCUACGGGAGGCAGCAGU
This 251-nucleotide ribosomal RNA is filed under the name uncultured Gardnerella sp. RNAcentral describes it as "partial 16S ribosomal RNA". It matches the Rfam family "Bacterial small subunit ribosomal RNA", at positions 103 to 355 of the family's 1533-position model. Lineage: Bacteria; Bacillati; Actinomycetota; Actinomycetes; Bifidobacteriales; Bifidobacteriaceae. The record is from RNAcentral.